This 425-nucleotide ribosomal RNA is filed under the name uncultured bacterium. Its description in RNAcentral is "partial 16S ribosomal RNA". It matches the Rfam family "Bacterial small subunit ribosomal RNA", at positions 354 to 796 of the family's 1533-position model. The record is from RNAcentral.
GUGGGGAAUCUUAGACAAUGGGGGAAACCCUGAUCUAGCCAUGCCGCGUGAGCGAUGAAGGCCUUAGGGUUGUAAAGCUCUUUCAGCUGGGAAGAUAAUGACGGUACCAGCAGAAGAAGCCCCGGCUAACUCCGUGCCAGCAGCCGCGGUAAUACGGAGGGGGCUAGCGUUGUUCGGAAUUACUGGGCGUAAAGCGCACGUAGGCGGAUCAGAAAGUCAGAGGUGAAAUCCCAGGGCUCAACCUUGGAACUGCCUUUGAAACUCCUGGUCUUGAGGUCGAGAGAGGUGAGUGGAAUUCCGAGUGUAGAGGUGAAAUUCGUAGAUAUUCGGAGGAACACCAGUGGCGAAGGCGGCUCCCUGGCUCGAUACUGACGCUGAGGUGCGAAAGCGUGGGGAGCAAACAGGAUUAGAAACCCCUGUAGUCC